AUUGAACGCUGGCGGCAGGCCUAACACAUGCAAGUCGAACGAGUGGCGGACGGGUGAGUAAUGUCUGGGAAACUGCCUGAUGGAGGGGGAUAACUACUGGAAACGGUAGCUAAUACCGCAUACCAUCAGAUGUGCCCAGAUGGGAUUAGCUAGUGGGUGGGGUAACGGCUCACCAAGGCGACGAUCCCUAGCUGGUCUGAGAGGAUGACCAGCAAAAUUGGAACGGGACAAGGGUCCAGACCCCUCCGGAUGGCAGCAGUGGGGAAUAUUGCACAAUGGGGGCAAGCCUGAUGAAGCAAUGCCGCGUGUAUGAAGAGGGCCUCAGGUUUGUAAAGUACUUUCAGCGGGGAGGCGGUACCCGAAGAAAAAGCAACGGCUAACUACGUGCCAGCAGCCGCGGUAAUAC
Molecule: ribosomal RNA, 406 nt
Filed under: uncultured bacterium
Lineage: Bacteria
Description: partial 16S ribosomal RNA
Rfam family: Bacterial small subunit ribosomal RNA
Source: RNAcentral